Podarcis raffonei (Aeolian wall lizard) is the source of this 674-nucleotide long non-coding RNA. RefSeq lists it as uncharacterized. The transcript is spliced from 2 exons. The record is from RefSeq and is a predicted model, not a curated record. NCBI's taxonomy places the organism in Eukaryota, Metazoa, Chordata, Lepidosauria, Squamata, Lacertidae.
AGUCUUUAGCCUUUACGAACCAAGAGUUAUGAAGCAAGACAUGCAGACACCCCUCUUAACAACUGCUUUGUGAGCCAUCAGCCUAUUCCUGCUUUUCAGUGCUUCUAGCCAAUUUUUGAAACAACAGAUGUGACAGACAAGUGCUAGAGAAAAAUAUUAGAGUCACACAUCCACCAGGGAAGACCCUCAAAACCAGGAAGACCCUGGUUCAUUUUGAAGCUGACUUUGGGUCUUCCUUCAGAUGUGUGUGAUUAUUAUUUUUUCUGGAUUCAGAUAACAGAAGAGAAUGCAUGGUUCAUUCUGAAGCUGUCCCCCACCCUUCUUUUCUUGCAGAGUUGUGAUUGCUGCCCAGUGAAAACAACUGCUACUGCAAGGCAGAAGAAUCAGAAAGGGAAACAAAAACCAGGAGAUGUCUCCAUGAGAGGUUGCUGCAACCCAACAGAGAGGACAGAUCUGUGAGAGAUCAGAAUCUUGUAGGUAACACUAGCCAAUCCCUACCAACUUCACUGUUAACAAGCCGAACCAAUCCAUAACAGCUUGAGUCUACAGCUUCCCUAAACACCCAGAACACACUUAAUAUGAAUGGAUGCCAGGUUGCAGCCUCAUCUGCACUUCUUGGCAACAUGUUAUGCACCCCAGCAAUGUGUAUCAAUGAACAUGCAUAUUUGGAACAG